This 313-nucleotide ribosomal RNA is filed under the name uncultured bacterium. Its description in RNAcentral is "bacterial SSU rRNA". It matches the Rfam family "Bacterial small subunit ribosomal RNA", at positions 775 to 1090 of the family's 1533-position model. The record is from RNAcentral.
GGAUUAGAAACCCGGGUAGUCCACGCCCUAAACGAUGAUUACUCGACGUGCGCGAUACACAGUGCGCGUCUGGGCGAAAGCAUUAAGUAAUCCACCUGGGAAGUACGACCGCAAGGUUGAAACUCAAAGGAAUUGGCGGGGGUCCGCACAAGCGGUGGAGUAUGUGGUUUAAUUCGAUGAUACGCGAGGAACCUUACCUGGGCUAGAAUGCGAAUGACCGGCCCUGAAAGGGAUUUUUCUAGCAAUAGACAUGAAGCAAGGUGCUGCAUGGCUGUCGUCAGCUCGUGCCGUGAGGUGUUGGGUUAAGUCCCCG